CAAAUGUGUAAUAGCUAUAAUAUAGUCCGAAGAAUUCUAGUAUUCUGCUAACUUAAUGGAAUCAACACGUAGUGUGGGAAAGCAAAUCGUCAUCAGACCUUGAGUGACAAAACUAAAUUAUAACAUUGGCUUCAACGAUAGACAAUCAAAUAGUGCUAUAAUUUUGAAAAUCCACAAGAAAUAAUUUAAAGAAAAGAAGAAGCAAAUCAAGGUCGAUUUAAAAAGUGGGCAACAUGAUUCUGGGGUAAUUGUAUCGCCUAAAUGGGACCACUACCUUCUACUUUCGGGAGACCGGAGACAUCAUAUAAUUGUACAAAAGAUCAGGUGAUAACUAUACAAACGAAGUUAAGAAGCUAUAUAUGAAGUUAUAUAGCUUAGUCUUAGGGCACUCAAGCCACUCUCAGAAAAUGGUUAUCAUUGAGUCCCCAUAUGUGACAAUAUAAGACUAUGACAUGCAAAUCAAAGAAGUUACUACAAUAAACUACAUUUCAAUGUCCUCGAACUUUUUUAAUGUUUUGCAUUUCUGCACCAUAGUCGAUGGUUUUGCAAUGGCAUAACAUGCCGCACGAAUAGAUGGUGCACUAUGGUGCUUAGAAAAUCCACCACCGAUUCCUCUCAAACUUAGUCCACGCUGCUGAUCUACUAGCAUGUGCGGCAAACAUGUUGAGACUGACUCAGAAAUUGUUCGUCUAGAGAAUUCCCAUGGGGUUGCCGUUAAUCGAAUUGUUAAUUUGACAGAAUCAACUAUUGCUUCUGAAAACGAUAAAGGAUGCAUUAAGGUGAAGUUGGUUUAUUAAUUUUUUUCCUGACCAAAGAAGGAUAAGUUAAUUAGAGAAUAUGAAGAUAUAAAUCUUUUUUCUUCAAAUUUGGAUUUUUCGAGUUAAUAGUGAAAUAGUCAACAUUUUAUCAUUCAAAUUGUACAGUGUUUGAUACUUGUUUUUUUUUCUCAUUACACUAUUUUAGAUUGUUUCAUUUACUAUUUUAGAAAGUAGAAACAGUUUUGAGGUGCACACUAUACAAAGGUUGAACAAGUUUGAGGUGCACACUAUACAAAGGUUGAACAGACACCACUAUUAUUUUUGUAAAAAGGAAGUAGCAAAAGUUGGUCUGCCUUAUGCAUUUUCUCAAUUCCAUCAUUAUAAUUUACUAUGCUUUUGCCAGCAACUCUUGAUGCAUGGAACCAUAAAAUUUCUUAUUCUGUGAACAGGAUUUUUGAGGAAGGAACAAAAACUUGAAGUGUUUAAGGCUUCAAGCCUCUGUGCCUUAUAUCUCAAUAGUAUAGUGCAUGUGUAAAUAUCUCCUUCAUGUUCUUCAUAAAGAAAAUUGCCCCUUCAUGUUCAUGGACUGUUGUUCACUCUUG
This is a long non-coding RNA of Capsicum annuum, 1360 nucleotides long. RefSeq lists it as uncharacterized. The transcript is spliced from 3 exons. The record is from RefSeq and is a predicted model, not a curated record. NCBI's taxonomy places the organism in Eukaryota, Viridiplantae, Streptophyta, Magnoliopsida, Solanales, Solanaceae.